AGUGAGCCCAGUCAUUAGAUGCAUCAUUCUGAAAUGUGAAUAUUAUUGACCAAAAGAGAGGAACUCGAGCAUCAUAGAUGGAUGAGAAGGGCUUAGAAACAGUUAAUCAAAGAAGGGAAGAACAUGAAGCAUGGAAGGAAGCUCUAGAGAAGAAUCCAGCCAGGUCAGCCAACCAACCUCCAUGCUUCUCUGAAGAAAGAGGGUGCAAAGGCAGAACAGCUGUCCAGUGAACUAGAAGAAAUAGCCCUGAAGAUAGCUUUGUGUCUGAUAUGACUUUGAGAAGGAAAAUCAUCCCAAAGAUAAAUGCUUCAAAUGAAGUUUCUAAGGGAUAGAAUAAAUGUAUAUAUA
Molecule: non-coding RNA, 348 nt
Organism: Meleagris gallopavo (turkey)
Lineage: Eukaryota; Metazoa; Chordata; Aves; Galliformes; Phasianidae
Source: RefSeq, a predicted model, not a curated record